CGAGAUGAGUUCUCCCUGAGACUUAGAGUCUCCUGAAGGAACGUUGAAGACGACGACGUUGAUAGGCCGGGUGUGUAAGCGCAGCGAUGCGUUGAGCUAACCGGUACUAAUGAACCGUGAGGCUUAACCUU
RNAcentral lists this ribosomal RNA (131 nucleotides) under Escherichia coli. RNAcentral describes it as "partial 23S ribosomal RNA". It matches the Rfam family "Bacterial large subunit ribosomal RNA", at positions 2800 to 2925 of the family's 2925-position model. The record is from RNAcentral. RNAcentral also lists the same sequence under 3 other names. Lineage: Bacteria; Pseudomonadati; Pseudomonadota; Gammaproteobacteria; Enterobacterales; Enterobacteriaceae.